GGAGAGAUGGCUGAGCGGUUGAAGGCGGCGGUCUUGAAAACCGUUGUAGGUUAACGCCUACCGUGGGUUCGAAUCCCACUCUCUCCG
Molecule: transfer RNA, 87 nt
Rfam family: tRNA
About the family: Transfer RNA (tRNA) molecules are approximately 80 nucleotides in length. Their secondary structure includes four short double-helical elements and three loops (D, anti-codon, and T loops). Further hydrogen bonds mediate the characteristic L-shaped molecular structure. tRNAs have two regions of fundamental functional importance: the anti-codon, which is responsible for specific mRNA codon recognition, and the 3' end, to which the tRNAs corresponding amino acid is attached (by aminoacyl-tRNA synthetases). tRNAs cope with the degeneracy of the genetic code in two manners: having more than one tRNA (with a specific anti-codon) for a particular amino acid; and 'wobble' base-pairing, i.e. permitting non-standard base-pairing at the 3rd anti-codon position.